RNAcentral lists this ribosomal RNA (442 nucleotides) under uncultured bacterium. Its description in RNAcentral is "partial 16S ribosomal RNA". It matches the Rfam family "Bacterial small subunit ribosomal RNA", at positions 338 to 795 of the family's 1533-position model. The record is from RNAcentral.
CCUACGGGGGGCAGCAGUGGGGGAUAUUGGACAAUGGGGGGAACCCUGAUCCAGCGACGCCGCGUGAGUGAAGAAGUAUCUCGGUAUGUAAAGCUCUAUCAGCAGGGAAGAAGAAAUGACGGUACCUGAGUAAGAAGCCCCGGCUAACUACGUGCCAGCAGCCGCGGUAAUACGUAGGGGGCAAGCGUUAUCCGGAAUUACUGGGUGUAAAGGGAGCGUAGACGGUGAUGUAAGUCUGGAGUGAAAGGCGGGGGCCCAACCCCCGGACUGCUCUGGAAACUAUGUGACUGGAGUGCAGGAGAGGUGAGCAGAAUUCCUAGUGUAGCGGUGAAAUGCGUAGAUAUUAGGAGGAACACCGGUGGCGAAGGCGGCCUGCUGGACUGUGACUGACGUUGAGGCCCGAAGGCGUGGGGAGCAAACAGGAUUAGAUACCCUAGUAGUC